Molecule: ribosomal RNA, 1193 nt
Filed under: Halobacillus dabanensis
Lineage: Bacteria; Bacillati; Bacillota; Bacilli; Caryophanales; Bacillaceae
Description: bacterial LSU rRNA
Rfam family: Bacterial large subunit ribosomal RNA
Source: RNAcentral
GGGGGGACGCAGGAGGAUAAGGAGAGCGCGCCACUGGAUGUGCGCGUCCAAGCAGUGAGACGGUCGGAUAGGCAAAUCCGUCCGGCAACGUCAAGCUGUGAUGGGGAGGGAAAUAUAGUACCGAAGCUCCUGAGUUCACACUGCCAAGAAAAUCCUCUAGUGAGGAAAGAGGUGCCCGUACCGCAAACCGACACAGGUAGGCGAGGAGAGGAUCCUAAGGUGAGCGGGAGAACUCUCGUUAAGGAACUCGGCAAAAUGACCCCGUAACUUCGGGAGAAGGGGUGCUCCUCUGCCGAGGAGCCGCAGUGAAAAGGCCCAAGCGACUGUUUACCAAAAACACAGGUCUCUGCGAAGCCGUAAGGCGAAGUAUAGGGGCUGACACCUGCCCGGUGCUGGAAGGUUAAGGGGAUGCGUUAGCUUAUGCGAAGCGUUGAACCGAAGCCCCAGUAAACGGCGGCCGUAACUAUAACGGUCCUAAGGUAGCGAAAUUCCUUGUCGGGUAAGUUCCGACCCGCACGAAAGGUGCAACGACUUGGGCACUGUCUCAACGAGAGACCCGGUGAAAUUAUACUAUGUGUGAAGAUGCACAUUACCCGCGACAGGACGGAAAGACCCCGUGGAGCUUUACUGUAGCCUGAUAUUGAAUGUUGGUACAGCUUGUACAGGAUAGGUAGGAGCCUUGGAAGCCGGAGCGCUAGCUUCGGUGGAGGCGCUGGUGGGAUACUACCCUGGCUGUACGGACAUUCUAACCCAGGACCGUUAUCCGGUCCGGAGACAGUGUCAGGUGGGCAGUUUGACUGGGGCGGUCGCCUCCCAAAGAGUAACGGAGGCGCCCAAAGGUUCCCUCAGAAUGGUUGGAAAUCAUUCGCAGAGUGUAAAGGCACAAGGGAGCUUGACUGCGAGACCUACAAGUCGAGCAGGGACGAAAGUCGGGCUUAGUGAUCCGGCGGUACCGCAUGGAAGGGCCGUCGCUCAACGGAUAAAAGCUACCCCGGGGAUAACAGGCUUAUCUCCCCCAAGAGUCCACAUCGACGGGGAGGUUUGGCACCUCGAUGUCGGCUCAUCGCAUCCUGGGGCUGUAGUCGGUCCCAAGGGUUGGGCUGUUCGCCCAUUAAAGCGGUACGCGAGCUGGGUUCAGAACGUCGUGAGACAGUUCGGUCCCUAUCCGUCGUGGGCGUUGGAAAUUUGAAAGG